Urocitellus parryii (Arctic ground squirrel) is the source of this 550-nucleotide non-coding RNA. The record is from RefSeq and is a predicted model, not a curated record. Lineage: Eukaryota; Metazoa; Chordata; Mammalia; Rodentia; Sciuridae.
CUUUCCAGAAGUGGGCAGCUGUGGUGGUGCCUGCUGGGGAGGAGCAGAGAUACACAUGCCAUGUGCAUCAUGAGGGGCUGACUGAGCCCGCACCCUGAGAUGGGAGUCACGUCCUCAGCUCAUCAUCUACAUUGUGGGAAUCAUUGCUGGCCUGGUUGUCCUUGGAGCUGCGGUUGUUAUUGCAAUUUGGUUGAAGAUGAACCACACAAGGGAAGAGGAGUCAUGAGACAGCUGCCUGUGUGGGAUUGAGCGACAUAAGACUUGUUCAGGCCUCCUCUUUGUGACUUGAAGAACCUUGGAUCUCUUUCUGCAGAGGUAUCUAAAUAUGCCCACAUUCCUACUGGCAUAAUGUGAGGAGGUGGGGAGACCAGCACACUCCUUCCCACCAGGAUUCCUUUUACCACACUGAACUGUGUUCCCUUUCACAAUCAACCUUCUUCUUCAGCAAAGGCAGGGCUAGGUUGUCUCCAUCCCUGUCUCCACGUCAUGGUGCCCUGAGCUACAGCUUCUUAACUUCUGUAGUAAAAAUAAGAACCUGAGCAUAAAUUUA